Apodemus sylvaticus (European woodmouse) is the source of this 106-nucleotide small nuclear RNA. NCBI's taxonomy places the organism in Eukaryota, Metazoa, Chordata, Mammalia, Rodentia, Muridae. The record is from RefSeq and is a predicted model, not a curated record.
GAGCCUGCUUUGGCGGCACAUAUGCUAAAACUGGAAUAACACAGAGAAGAACAGCAUGACCCCUGGUGAGGAUGGCACACACAUUUGUGAAGUGGGCUUCUGGAAU